Molecule: transfer RNA, 73 nt
Filed under: Pteropus alecto (black flying fox)
Lineage: Eukaryota; Metazoa; Chordata; Mammalia; Chiroptera; Pteropodidae
Rfam family: tRNA
About the family: Transfer RNA (tRNA) molecules are approximately 80 nucleotides in length. Their secondary structure includes four short double-helical elements and three loops (D, anti-codon, and T loops).
Source: Rfam by way of RNAcentral
GGUUCCUUAGAGUUGUGUUUAGCGCGUCUGCUUUACACGCAGAAGGUCCUCGGUUCGAGCCCCAGUGGAGCCA